This 6159-nucleotide long non-coding RNA is filed under the name Sus scrofa (pig). RNAcentral describes it as "lncRNA (ENSSSCG00005033265.1)". The record is from RNAcentral. Lineage: Eukaryota; Metazoa; Chordata; Mammalia; Artiodactyla; Suidae.
GUCAUUGUGAAGAUUAGAGAGAUCAGUGUGGGUCUGGUCAAAUGCACAAUCACACAGGUUAACCUCAUGUGAAUUUCUCUAACAGUUUCAAUCUUGGUAUGCUAGGGGCUUGGGGCUUCUGGUCACAAGAUGAGCAAAAUAAGCAUUGAGGAGGUAGAGAUCAAUGCACAAAUAGUUGGGUGGAUGGAAGGAUAAUGGAUGAAGAGAUGGCUGGCUUGAUGCCUUAAAUGAAGGGACAGAUAAGAGAACAAACAGCUGCUGUGGAAAGUAUCAAAGGUACAGAAUAAAAACCAGCUGAAGGAAUUUAACAUUCUAGCAAAUGAGUGCUUAUUCCAGGUGGGUGAGUGAGAGGGUAUUCUUAACACUACUGCCCGCUGUUGCAGCCAAGAUGGAAAGACCCUUAUUUGGCCUCUCCAUUUUACAGAGGGAGAAGAUGAGAGCUGUGGGUCUAAAACUGAUUUCACUUACUUUCUCUACCAGAAUGAAGGGGUAGCUUGGAGCAGGGCCCAGGUAGAGGCUCUUACCUCUGUGCCUCACUUUCCUUCUCCUGGCAGUGGAGCCGGAGGAUCCUCAGGGUCUCUGCAGAGAGAGGAAGUGAGGGGGCCAUGAGAGCUCAUCAAGGCAUGAGGUUUGGGCAGAGGUAAAAGGGCCAGGUCAUGUGGACACCGUAUGGGACUGUCAUUUACUGUGGUGGAAUCCACAGGAGGGGUGCAAGGUGAUUCAGGUUUCAAAAGGCUUCUAUCACUAUAGAGAGUAGGCUUAUACAGGUUGGAAAAGGCAAAAACAUGAAGACAGAACAGCUAUAAUUACCUUGCUUUUUGCUCAAGAUCUCUUUCAGGCGUACUUUCUCUCCACUCACUGGAAAAAGUAACAUGUUCAGGCAUCAGGGACCAUUCACUGCACCCCUGGGGACCAGGCCUGCGCACGGUCACAUGGGCAGUUUCAUACAGGCUUACCCCUGACCCCAAAUGUGGACCCCCAAGGUGACCCUCUCCUCUCUUGUGCUGACACUCGCUAUAAGCACUAGAGUCCUGAAGGUGAUAAAGGGUGUCUGUGAUGACUUUGUGGGAUGCCAGUGUGUUUACAUGAAAGGGAGAGAAAAAAUAAGAAACAUAUCACAUGAAGUGGGACAAGGACUGUGAAGAAAUAACAUCAAGCAGUAAGUGGCACAUGCCCAGGCAGGGACAGGGUGCUGUUUUUAGGUAACUGGGGAAGGCCUCUCUGAGCAUACUUGAGCUGAGAGCUGAGGAUGAUGUGAGGCAACAGGAAGUGGUGGUAUCUGGGGGACUGUCUAGCCAAGGCCCUGAGGUAGAGGCAUGCUUACAGAGUUUUUCAGGAACCUUCCCACCAACACAGUGGGAGGAGCAGGGAUUAGGAGGAUCUGAGGUUGAAGGGCAGGAGCCCUUGGUCACAGCCAAGAAUGCAGACAUCUGGAAUACUGUGUUCAAAGCUGCAUGACAUUGUGUGGACCUCUGGGUGACCGGUGACAAGCUUACAUGAGUCAAGUUCCUUUUGCAGGGUCUCCCAGACAGUCCGGGCCUCUCCCAGCUCUUCACUGGCUUUCUUUUUUGCUGUGCCAAAGAGUAAAACAUUAUUUAAGUGUCUUUUCCUUGCAAAUAUUUCACAUUUGUCUUCAAGUAAACCUAAAGGGGCUCAGGCUUUACAGAGCAGGAAAUGGGGCUUCCAGGAGCCUAAGCCCUUCCUGUUAGGUUCAGGUGGCAGCAGGGCCAGGUUAAUAAACAUGACUAUAGCAGUUAGUAUUUAGAUGGACCAACCCAUGCCUCAUUUAAUGCUCUGCUCUUUCAAAACACUUUGUAUAUUUUGAACUAGGGGCACCGCAUUUUCACUUUACACUGAGUCCUGCAAAUCACAUAACUUAUCCUGGUUGACAAGGCAAGGUCCUGAGCUCACCUUGCUGAACCUCAUUAAUCCGGUUAAUCAGGACCUCAACCUUGGGCUCUAGGCUUCCCGCUGCAGGGAGAAAAGGAGGUUGAGUGACUAUGACAGGACAGACAGAGGGAGGUGGAUGCCCCUCCAAGGGCUUACAUCUUGGGUAGGGGAGACAGGAACAGAGAGAGACAAAGUCAGAUUGUGGUAACUGCGGUCAAGAGAAAUAGGUAAUGGAUUAAAAAGUAAAGGAGCAGGACACGCUUCUUCAGAUAUGGCAAGACCUCUUGAGAGCCCCAAAUCAAGUAGGGUGGGGUAGGCCUUGAAGUUCGCUGGGUGGGUGUGAGACAGUGCAAAGGCCUGCCUUGAGGUAGGAACAUGGCUGGGAGGUGUCUGGUAAGGAAGCACAGAGGAGCAGAUGUGAGGUGGAGGGAAGGGAGGUAAAGGUGAAAAACUGUUUUCAGCAAAUCGCAGUGGGAGCCAAAUGGAUGGUGAGUAAGGGGAGUGUUAGGACAAUGUUUUGCAUUUUAUUGCAUUACACUUUAACUUUGAAUCAUGGGUCAUAUUUUUAACUCAGAAAAUUAAGGUUUAAAAGUAAGAGAAAGCAAAUGACUUCAUUUCCCAAGUUUGUGAAUUUGGGGGCUUAGAAUUGAUUCUACUUCUGCCUGAACCCAAACCUCAGGCUGAGCCUUAGUUACAGAGGAGACGUGACCUUUCUGCAACUUCUUCACCAUUUCCAUCAAGUCUUCUAUUUUUUGUGAGGACUUGGCCUGCCCUGUGGAGACAAAAACCAAACAUUUAAGAAUCAUAUAGGUGUGAGAAGCCUGAGGGAAGAUCUGACAACCUUGGGCUGGAACUGAGGUGGGUUGAGGGCAGGUUUCCAGCCAAAGUGGUGCUUCUGCUCCUUGACCUUAAGUGGACACUGCACAAGGGAUGAAUCGGGUCAUGGUCAGCUUUUCCUUAAGGAUGAAAUGACACCACAGAUUUCCCCUUACUAAAACUCAGGGCAAGGGAAGGAGUGCAUGCUUACUACAGAUACUGUUCAAGGCUUGGUCAAAGCGCAGGAUGUAAUAAUGAAAGAAAAAAAGGUAUUAAAAUAUUAAAAACUGGAAACAAGGAGUCAGAAGUCACUGUAAACAGCAGAUGGCAUAAUCGUCUAUAAAGUUCAAGAGAAUAUCACCAAAACAAAACAAAACAAAUCCCCACAAAAAGACCAAAAUACCUCACAAGGAAUAGUGAGGAAAUUUAAUAAGAUGUCUCAUUUAAAUGUAUAUGAAUACAAAACGCUUUCCUACAUACAAUCAUUACUCUGGAGCCUCCUAGAAAACCAUUUUGUACUGACUUGCUUAUACUCAAAUAGGCAUUUAUUUUUAACUCCCUAAUGAACUGGUAGAUCUAGGCAAUUAUUAUUAACAUCAAAAUAAAGAUAGACAUUAUGAGCUAUUUGAUGUAAAAAUACAACAUAGGAUUCUUGUCAAAAAUGACACUAAAACAAGUUAAGCCUCUCUAUCUAAAUAACAAUUUGAAGGAAACACAAGGACAGAGGAUCAUUUUAAAUGGCUCCUGUGGAUGCAAUUAGCAACAUCCACACUGGGGAGCUUCACAGGAAAAACAACCCAGUUUAACUUAAAUACAUUUUUGGGUUAUGGGGGAGGGAGAAAGGAAGACCCUUACAUACAAAAAGAGAUUAAAGACACCUAUCACCCAAUCUCGAUAAAUGGAUCAUAUUUGCAUCUUGAUUCAAUCAAAUACACUAUAGAAGAAUAUAUAUAUUCUUUUUCAGAUUAUUUUCCAUUACAGAUUACAAGAUAUUGCAUAUAGUUCCUUGUGCCAUACAUCAGGUCCUUGUUGUUUAGGUUUUAUAUUUAGUAGUGUGUAUCAGUUAAUCUCAGUCCUAAUGUAUCCCUCCAUUCCCCCUCUCCCCUUUGGUAACCGUAAGUUUGUUUUCUAUGUCUGUGAGUCUAUUUCUGGUUUGUAAAUAAGUUCAUUUGUAUCAUCGUUUUAGAUUCCACACAUAGGUGAUAUUUGUCUUUGUCUGAUUUACUUCAUUUAGUAUGAUUACCUCUAGGUCCAUCCAUUUUGCUGGAAAUGCCAUUAUUUCAUUCUUUUUAUGGCUGAGUAUUAUUCAGUCAUGUAUAUAUAUGCACCACCUCUUCUUUAUCCAGUUAUCUGUCCAUGGACAUUUAGGUUGCUUCCAUGUCUUGGCUACUGUAAAAAGUACUGCUGUGACCCUGGGGUGCAUAUACCAUUUCAAAUUAGUUUUAUUUUUUUCCAGAUACAUGCCUAGGAGUGGGACUGUUGGAUCAUAUGGUAACCAUAUUUAUAGUUUUUUAAGGAACCUCUCUACUGUUCUCCAUAGUGACUGCACCAAUUUAUAUUCCCACCAACAGUGUAGAAGGGUUCCUUUUUUCCACACCCUCUCCAGCAUUUAUUUGUAGACUAUGAUAGACAUUCUUACUAGUGUGAGGUGAUACCUCAUUGUAGUUUUCUCUUUCUAUAUUAGCAAUGUUCAGCAUCUUUUCAUGUGCCUGUGCAUUCUUGCAUAUGCCUAAAUUUUUCCAUAAUAAAGUUUAAGAAUAGGACAUACAGCUCCUUUAUGCCCUUCAUCCCAAAUCUUCCAUUUGCUACUCUUUCUGAACCUUGAGAAUGAGUUGCAGAUACAAUGCUUCAUUACCCCGAAUAUUCUGUUGUGAAGUUCUAAAGUACAGGGACACUCUCCUAUAUAGUAAUAACCUCAGUAUAACAAUUAAAACUGAGAGAACAACAGUGAUAGAUAUUAACAUACAAUCCUCAAAUGGCAUUUUAAAAAUGUCCCCUACUUUUACAUUUUAAAUUUCCACUAGUAUUAAUUACAUAUUCUUAGUAGAAAAUACAAAUAUUAAGGUUAAAAAUGUUCCUUUACCUCUGCAUUGCCCUCAAAAUCCAAGUCCCUUCCUUGGAGCCAUCAAUUAGGAAAGCAGCCUCCAGACAUCUUUCUGUGCAACCUACAUAGUGCUAUAAUUAUAAUUUUUCUUGCUUUUCUCUCAUAAAAAUAUCCUUUUUGAAAAUCAUGCUGUAUCGGUGUAAAUACAUCUAAUAAUUUAAAAGUUGACAUAGUUACCUUAAUUUUAAUUCCAUUUCUUCCUCAUUUCAGAAAUCCACUCUACAGGUAUUUCCCAGUAGAAAUACCUCGGGAUUUAGCUGUUCCCUCCCCAUGUUUUCCUACCGCCAUCUAGGCUCCAGUGACUACGUAGUCCAUGCAUCUAUAUGUUUUGUGUGAUCCUCCAGGAAAGAGCGAAGUUGUAAAAUUCCUAAGUUUCUAAGCCACAUGGGAUAUGGUAUUUCACCAGUUAUAAGACACUGGUGAAACUGAUUAAACAUUCAUCUAAAUAUGUUGUCUUAUUUGAGAAAUUUGGAAGAGCAAUACUAAGAGGUUUCUUUAGUACAGUGGUGGCCACGGUAGGUGCUUAAGAAAAGGGAACUAUAUGCAUCUGCCCUGUUUUUCUUUGUCCUUAGCUGAGAGUUGUCACCAGGUGCCACACUGUGCUCCAAUCAAGCUUUCUGUGCUGUUUCUUUAAUUACUUAGACCUUUAUUUUAUAAAAACGUUAUGGAGCCCUUACCAAUGUACCAAAGCUGCACUGGUAACGGCAGGUCUGAAAGUGUCACCAAGACAUGUUCAUGAUUGAAUCUUAAGGAGGGAGGUGGGUGAGCCAAGGAGAGCAGAGAGUAAACAAGCUGAGGGAUGGGUGUUCCUUGUACAGGUCCCUCCGGUUCUGUGAAACACCGGGGCGAAAACGUCUAAGGAACACUGUUCAUCUCUCCUCUACCCCAGGCUGUCCCUGCAGAACUUUUUAACUGAAGGAGCUGCCGUGCUCCCCCACCCGCUUCCUGGUGAGGUGGGAGCCAACACGCGGAGGAUCAGUGUCAAGACGAAAGAAAAGGUGCUGGCUUUGCCAAGACUACGAGACUGCCCUCCCAUGGGACACCACACACCUCUGGCUUUCCCAAGAUGACGAGACCCCCCUACCGUGGGACACCACACACCUCUGGCUUUCCCAAGACUGUGAGACCACCCCCCUAUGGGACACCACACACCUCUGGCUUUGUCAAGAUUCCGAGACCACCAGAGUCCAGCUGCAGGUGAAAGGUCAACUAACCUUCUCCCCCAGCUUCAGGGAAUCAAUUUCCCAUCCACAGGGUAUAAGAAGGCCCCAGCAGAAGUGGGGGGGGCUGGCUCUUCUCAGGGUCAGUCACCCUCUCCUUUCCCUCUAAUAAAUUUCCUUCUCUUUGUU